This 492-nucleotide ribosomal RNA is filed under the name uncultured bacterium. RNAcentral describes it as "partial 16S ribosomal RNA". It matches the Rfam family "Bacterial small subunit ribosomal RNA", at positions 29 to 507 of the family's 1533-position model. The record is from RNAcentral.
AGUGAACGCUGGCGGUAGGCCUAACACAUGCAAGUCGAACGGCAGCACAGUAAGAGCUUGCUCUUACGGGUGGCGAGUGGCGGACGGGUGAGGAAUACAUCGGAAUCUACUUUUUCGUGGGGGAUAAUGUAGGGAAACUUACGCUAAUACCGCAUACGACCUACGGGUGAAAGCAGGGGAUCUUCGGACCUUGCGCGAUUGAACGAGCCGAUGUCGGAUUAGCUAGUUGGCGGGGUAAAGGCCCACCAAGGCGACGAUCCGUAGCUGGUCUGAGAGGAUGAUCAGCCACACUGGAACUGAGACACGGUCCAGACUCCUACGGGAGGCGGCAGUGGGGAAUAUUGGACAAUGGGCGCAAGCCUGAUCCAGCCAUACCGCGUGGGUGAAGAAGGCCUUCGGGUUGUAAAGCCCUUUUGUUGGGAAAGAAAAGCAGCAGGUUAAUACCCCGCUGUUCUGACGGUACCCAAAGAAUAAGCACCGGCUAACUUCGUG